CAGGUCGGCCAGGCGGUCGCGCCUCGCGACUCCGGAUCCUUCAAGAAUGGGGCGCGGGGUGAGGAAAGUCCGGGCUCCACAGGGCACGGUGCUGGGUAACACCCAGGCGGGGUAACCCGACGGAAAAGGGCCACAGAAAAGCAGACAGCCGGGGCAGCCCAGGCCGCCCCGGUGAUGGUGAAAAGGUGGUGUAAGAGACCACCGGCGCUCGUGGUGACACGGGCGGCCAGGCAACCCCCACCGGGAGCAAGGCCAAGCAGGGGCGAGACCGUUCCCAUCGGGUCUGAGACCCGACGGGGAACAGGCGCGGGGCGGCCCGUCCCGUCCGAGCCCCGGGUAGGCCGCUAGAGGCGGCGGGCAACCGCCGUCCCAGAUAGAUGACCGCCCACGACAGAACCCGGCUUAUCGGCCGGCCUGGGCG
This 421-nucleotide RNase P RNA is filed under the name Chloroflexota bacterium. Its description in RNAcentral is "Chloroflexi bacterium RNase P RNA component class A". It matches the Rfam family "Bacterial RNase P class A". Rfam says of the family: Ribonuclease P (RNase P) is a ubiquitous endoribonuclease, found in archaea, bacteria and eukarya as well as chloroplasts and mitochondria. Its best characterised activity is the generation of mature 5'-ends of tRNAs by cleaving the 5'-leader elements of precursor-tRNAs. The record is from RNAcentral. Lineage: Bacteria; Bacillati; Chloroflexota.